This 1459-nucleotide ribosomal RNA is filed under the name uncultured Acidobacterium sp. Its description in RNAcentral is "bacterial SSU rRNA". It matches the Rfam family "Bacterial small subunit ribosomal RNA". The record is from RNAcentral. Lineage: Bacteria; Pseudomonadati; Acidobacteriota; Terriglobia; Terriglobales; Acidobacteriaceae.
AGAGUUUGAUCAUGGCUCAGAUUCAACGUUGGCGGCGCGCUUAACACAUGCAAGUCGAACGAGAAAGUGGAGCGAUCCAUGAGUACAGUGGCGUACGGGUGAGUAACACGUGGGUAUCUACCUCUUAGUGGGGAAUAACCCUGGGAAACCGGGGCUAAUACCGCAUAAGCCUGAAAGGGGAAAGUCGAAAGACGCUGAGAGAGGAGCCCGCGGCUGAUUAGCUAGUUGGUGGGGUAAAGGCUCACCAAGGCAAAGAUCGGUAGCCGGCCUGAGAGGGCACACGGCCACACUGGCACUGAAACACGGGCCAGACUCCUACGGGAGGCAGCAGUGGGGAAUCUUGCACAAUGGGGGAAACCCUGAUGCAGCGACGCCGCGUGAGCGAUGAAGCCCUUCGGGGUGUAAAGCUCUUUCGACGGGAACGAUAAUGACGGUACCCGGAGAAGAAGCUGCGGCUAACUACGUGCCAGCAGCCGCGGUAAUACGUAGGCAGCAAACGUUGUUCGGAAUUACUGGGCGUAAAGAGUGUGUAGGCGGUUGGGUAAGUUUGGUGUGAAAUCUCUCGGCUUAACUGGGAGGGUGCGCCGAAAACUGCCUGACUUGAGUACUGGAGAGGAUAGCGGAAUUCCUGGUGUAGCGGUGAAAUGCGUAGAUAUCAGGGAGGAACACCUGCGGUGUAGACGGCUGUCUGGACAGUAACUGACGCUGAGACACGAAAGCGUGGGGAGCAAACAGGAUUAGAUACCCUGGUAGUACACGCCCUAAACGAUGCAUACUUGGUGUGGGUGAUUCAUUUUAUCCGUGCCGGAGCUAACGCGUUAAGUAUGCCGCCUGGGGAGUACGGUUGCAAGGCUGAAACUCAAAGGGAAUUGACGGGGGCCCGCACAAGCGGUGGAGCAUGUGGUUUAAUUCGACGCAACGCGAAGAACCUUACCUGGGCUCGAACGGCUCGUGAACGGCUGUAGAAAUAUGGCUUUCCCGCAAGGGACUAGAGUCGAGGUGCUGCAUGGCUGUCGUCAGCUCGUGUCGUGAGAUGUUGGGUUAAGUCCCGCAACGAGCGCAACCCUCGUCCUGUGUUGCUAACCGAAAGGUGCACUCUCAGGAGACUGCCGGCGAUAAGCUGGAGGAAGGUGGGGAUGACGUCAAGUCAUCAUGGCCUUUAUGUCCAGGGCUACACACGUGCUACAAUGGGCGGUACAAACCGCAGCAAACCCGCGAGGGGGAGCAAAUCGGAGAAAACCGUUCUCAGUUCGGAUUGCAGGCUGCAACUCGCCUGCAUGAAGCUGGAAUCGCUAGUAAUGGCGUAUCAGAACGACGCCGUGAAUACGUUCCCGGGCCUUGUACACACCGCCCGUCACAUCACGAAAGUGGAUUGUACUAGAAGUCUGCGUGCUAACCGAAAGGGGGCAGCGGCCCAAGGUAUGAUUCAUGAUUGGGGUGAAGUCGUAACAAGGUAACC